Molecule: small nucleolar RNA, 107 nt
Filed under: Sorghum bicolor (sorghum)
Lineage: Eukaryota; Viridiplantae; Streptophyta; Magnoliopsida; Poales; Poaceae
Description: Plant small nucleolar RNA R71
Rfam family: Plant small nucleolar RNA R71
About the family: R71 is a member of the C/D box family of snoRNAs containing the C (UGAUGA) and D (CUGA) box motifs.
Source: Rfam by way of RNAcentral
AUCCAAUGAUAAGGACACUCGUGUAUAUAGUCUUCAAAAUGCUCCCAAGCUUCUAGGACUAUCUCAUCAUGUUGUUGCUAAAAACUUGAUAUCUUCCCACGAAGAGC